GACGAACGCUGGCGGCGUGCUUAACACAUGCAAGUCGAACGGAAAGGCCCCUUCGGGGGUCCUCGAGUGGCGAACGGGUGAGUAACACGUGAGUAACCUGCCCUUGACUUCGGGAUAACUUCAGGAAACUGGGGCUAAUACCGGAUAGGAAUCCUUGCUGCAUGGUGGGGGUUGGAAAGCUUCGGCGGUUUUGGAUGGACUCGCGGCUUAUCAGCUUGUUGGUGGGGUAGUGGCUUACCAAGGCUUUGACGGGUAGCCGGCCUGAGGGCGACCGGCCACAUUGGGACUGAGAUACGGCCCAGACUCCUACGGGAGGCAGCAGUGGGGAAUAUUGCACAAUGGGCGGAAGCCUGAUGCAGCAACGCCGCGUGCGGGAUGACGGCCUUCGGGUUGUAAACCGCUUUCAGCAGGGGCGAAGCUUGUGGUGACGGUACCUGCAGAAGAAGCACCGGCUAACUACGUG
This 463-nucleotide ribosomal RNA is filed under the name uncultured bacterium. RNAcentral's name for it is "partial 16S ribosomal RNA". It matches the Rfam family "Bacterial small subunit ribosomal RNA", at positions 28 to 507 of the family's 1533-position model. The record is from RNAcentral.